This is a small nucleolar RNA of Amphilophus citrinellus (Midas cichlid), 129 nucleotides long. Ensembl annotates it as small nucleolar RNA, H/ACA box 77B. Lineage: Eukaryota; Metazoa; Chordata; Actinopteri; Cichliformes; Cichlidae. The record is from Ensembl.
GCAGACACACUCUGUUCUCUGCUGCCCACUUCAGCUGGGGACUUUUUCUGUCUGCUAUAUGAACAUGCAGAAUGUAACACUUUACUGGUUUUCUAAAAGGCUGGUGUCGGUAUGUUCUGCUACAUUACA